UGCCCAGACUGCACUCAACAUUACCAUUGC
RNAcentral lists this non-coding RNA (30 nucleotides) under Rattus norvegicus (Norway rat). Lineage: Eukaryota; Metazoa; Chordata; Mammalia; Rodentia; Muridae. The record is from RNAcentral.